This 444-nucleotide ribosomal RNA is filed under the name uncultured bacterium. Its description in RNAcentral is "partial 16S ribosomal RNA". It matches the Rfam family "Bacterial small subunit ribosomal RNA", at positions 338 to 795 of the family's 1533-position model. The record is from RNAcentral.
CCUACGGGAGGCUGCAGUGGGGAAUAUUGGGCAAUGGAGGCAACUCUUACCCAGCAAUGCCGCGUGAAUGAAGAAGGUCUUCGGAUUGUAAAGUUCUUUAAUUGGGGACGAAAAAAAUGACGGUACCCAAGGAAUAAGCCCCGGCUAACUACGUGCCAGCAGCCGCGGUAAUACGUAGGGGGCAAGCGUUGUUCGGAAUGACUGGGCGUAAAGGGUGUGUAGGCGGGGUAGCAAGUUAGAAGUGAAAUACCUAGGGCUUAACUCAGGUGCUGCUUCUAAAACUGCUAUACUUGAGUGCAGUAGAGGAAAGUGGAAUUCCUAGUGUAGCGGUGGAAUGCGGAGAUAUUAGGAGGAACAUCAGUGGCGAAGGCGACUUUCUGGACUGUAACUGACGCGGAGGCACGAAAGUGUGGGGAGCAAACAGGAUUAGAUACCCCAGUAGUC